GAUGAACGCUAGCGGGAGGCCUAACACAUGCAAGCCGAGCGGUAUUGUUUCUUCGGAAAUGGAGAGAGCGGCGUACGGGUGCGGAACACGUGUGCAACCUGCCUUUAUCUGGGGGAUAGCCUUUCGAAAGGAAGAUUAAUACUCCAUAAUAUAUUGAACGGCAUCGUUUAAUAUUGAAAGCUCCGGCGGAUAGAGAUGGGCACGCGCAAGAUUAGCUAGUUGGUGAGGUAACGGCUCACCAAGGCAAUGAUCUUUAGGGGGCCUGAGAGGGUGAUCCCCCAACUGGUACUGAGACACGGACCAGACUCCUACGGGAGCAGCAGUGAGGAAUAUUGGUCAAUGGGUGCAAGCCUGAACCAGCCAUCCCGCGUGAAGGACGACUGCCCUAUGGGUUGUAAACUUCUUUUGUAUAGGGAUAAACCUUUCACGUGUGGAAAGCUGAAGGUACUAUACGAAUAAGCACCGGCUAACUCCGUGCCAGCAGCCGCGGUAAACCGAGAGUA
Molecule: ribosomal RNA, 503 nt
Filed under: uncultured bacterium
Lineage: Bacteria
Description: bacterial SSU rRNA
Rfam family: Bacterial small subunit ribosomal RNA
Source: RNAcentral